RNAcentral lists this ribosomal RNA (253 nucleotides) under uncultured bacterium. RNAcentral's name for it is "partial 16S ribosomal RNA". It matches the Rfam family "Bacterial small subunit ribosomal RNA", at positions 524 to 776 of the family's 1533-position model. The record is from RNAcentral.
UACGUAGGGGGCUAGCGUUGUCCGGAUUCAUUGGGCGUAAAGCGCGCGUAGGCGGCUUCGUAAGUCGGCCGUGAAAUCUCCAGGCUUAACCUGGAGGGGUCGGGCGAGACUGCGGGGCUCGAGGUGGGCAGAGGGCAGUGGAAUUCCGGGUGUAGUGGUGGAAUGCGUAGAGAUCCGGAGGAACACCAGUGGCGAAGGCGGCUGCCUGGGCCUGGCCUGACGCUGAGGCGCGAAAGCGUGGGGAGCGAUCCGG